This 492-nucleotide ribosomal RNA is filed under the name uncultured bacterium. RNAcentral's name for it is "partial 16S ribosomal RNA". It matches the Rfam family "Bacterial small subunit ribosomal RNA", at positions 29 to 507 of the family's 1533-position model. The record is from RNAcentral.
AGUGAACGCUGGCGGUAGGCCUAACACAUGCAAGUCGAACGGCAGCACAGUAAGAGCUUGCUCUUACGGGUGGCGAGUGGCGGACGGGUGAGGAAUACAUCGGAAUCUACUUUUUCGUGGGGGAUAACGUAGGGAAACUUACGCUAAUACCGCAUACGACCUACGGGUGAAAGCAGGGGAUCUUCGGACCUUGCGCGAUUGAAUGAGCCGAUGUCGGAUUAGCUAGUUGGCGGGGUAAAGGCCCACCAAGGCGACGAUCCGUAGCUGGUCUGAGAGGAUGAUCAGCCACACUGGAACUGAGACACGGUCCAGACUCCUACGGGAGGCAGCAGUGGGGAAUAUUGGACAAUGGGCGCAAGCCUGAUCCAGCCAUAGCGCGUGGGUGAAGAAGGCCUUCGGGUUGUAAAGCCCUUUUGUUGGGAAAGAAAAGCAGCAGGUUAAUACCCCGCUGCUCUGACGGUACCCAAAGAAUAAGCACCGGCUAACUUCGUG